AACUGAAUUACAGGGUAGUUUCCCUUUUGGCAGGAAACAACACCAUAACAUGACACAAAUAAUACUAAGAGGUGUUGUUCACUGCCAAAGGGGAUUUGCCCAGCAAUUUUGCU
Lupinus albus (white lupine) is the source of this 113-nucleotide non-coding RNA. The record is from the annotation of a GenBank genome assembly. NCBI's taxonomy places the organism in Eukaryota, Viridiplantae, Streptophyta, Magnoliopsida, Fabales, Fabaceae.